This 380-nucleotide long non-coding RNA is filed under the name Homo sapiens (human). Its description in RNAcentral is "HSALNT0003245". The record is from RNAcentral. Lineage: Eukaryota; Metazoa; Chordata; Mammalia; Primates; Hominidae.
GACUGUUAGGGCUUGUGAGAACUUAUUUUAAGACGGGGAGGAGGCGAGAGCGUUCAUAACCAAAGGAAACACUGCGUGAUGUCUACAUGUUCCAAGAGACUGAAAAUGGAUGUGACAUGUGUGGAAAGAUUGGAAAAUUCUGGUGGGAGUUUAAAAACACGGUCUCUUUAGAAAAUCCGCCUGAAGCCAAUUUUUUGAUAUGACUCAACAUUUAACACUUCCUUGAUUUUAUACGCGAGAGAAUCUGAAGGUCUUUCCCAGGAAAAAGAUAAAGAUAAAACUUAUUGCGGGACUUGGAGACACUUACAAAAAUUCCCCAGGAGUGACUGGAUCUCAAGGGUGAAGAGUUUUUUUAAAUGGUCGUGGUUAUAAGGUCAAAG